This is a long non-coding RNA of Zingiber officinale, 980 nucleotides long. RefSeq lists it as uncharacterized. The record is from RefSeq and is a predicted model, not a curated record. The transcript has 2 exons. NCBI's taxonomy places the organism in Eukaryota, Viridiplantae, Streptophyta, Magnoliopsida, Zingiberales, Zingiberaceae.
GCUUCUGAGCAUAUGGGUCAUCUGCUCGACGAGAAGGAUGUGAUGAUUAAGGAAUUAACUUCUUCUAGCAAGGCAAUUAAGGCUGCUGACUCUAAGGUGAAUCUUGCCCAUUCAUAUAGCUUGGCAGGUUAUAGUAAAGUUUACUUCUUUCUUGAAAUAAAGAAUAACGGAACUAGAAGAAAUCAUACGAAGGAAGACUAUGGUCAUCUCCAAAUUGAAGUAGGAUAUGGCUGUUCCGGCAGGUUGUUGAACUUAAGAGACUCCGAAGACGUUCUUCUACUACUUUGGAGUCUGAUUCCUCUAGUGCUUCAUGCUCUGAAGGUUCACGACUUCCUGUCCUGGCAACUAAUAUUUAUUUUGACAUAAGUAGCACCAGUCAAUCAUCCUCUGAUCCUGACUCUCCCGUGGCCAGCAAAGGAUACCCUUUGCGAUUUCCAGUUGGUAAGGAUUAGUCCCAGCAGCAUUGCAGCAGAAAAGUAGACAGUAUAGAACAGCCUUUAUCAGAGCAUUCCAUUUCUCAACAGAUAGCCCUGGGUCGCAAUGAUCUAUUAGUCCUCUUAAAGAGAACCGGAGGCUUCAUAUAUAUCUGAACCGGCUACCGCAUUUAAACAGAGGAAACUUGCUAAAUCUAGUGAAGAUUCAAAGAGCAACAGAAAUGCUGCUUGCCAGAAAGGAAAUCCCAUAGCUGCAAGGAGGAGGUGGAGUUGAAUCAUGCUGUCAGUUUGGUUUCAUACUUCUUUCUGGCUUUGAAUAAUACUGAUGCAUGUUUUUUCAAUCUGCAAUCUUUUGAUACCAUGAUCAGCAAGGUAAUCUACUGAUCUGCAACUUCAGACUGUGAGUUAAACUUCAUUGAUGGAAUUGUUUUUUUUUUUUCAAGCCAAAUUAAUUUUAGUUUAGUUCGGUUGAUGGUUUGGUCAUGCAUCAGUUCUUUUACAUUUAGUUAAUAAGCAUUUCCAGAAUUGAUGGAUAGAGAACGCCUA